RNAcentral lists this unclassified non-coding RNA (258 nucleotides) under Ascomycota sp. RNAcentral describes it as "partial contains small subunit ribosomal RNA, internal transcribed spacer 1, and 5.8S ribosomal RNA". The stretch from base 1 to 47 matches the Rfam family "Eukaryotic small subunit ribosomal RNA", at positions 1785 to 1831 of the family's 1831-position model. The record is from RNAcentral. Lineage: Eukaryota; Fungi; Ascomycota.
AAAGUCGUAACAAGGUUUCCGUAGGUGAACCUGCGGAAGGAUCAUUAUUCUUCUCUAUCGGGGGGUUGUAGUUGAAGAUUGUUUUCAGCAGGAAACUCUCUCCUUCUCGCCCUAUCUGAUUUUACCCAUGAUUUUUGUAUACCUUAUGUUUCCUUGACAGGUUCGCCUGUCAGAGGACCCCUUAAACCCAUUGCAAUUGCAGUCAGCGUCAGAUAAACUUAAUAGUUACAACUUUCAACAACGGAUCUCUUGGUUCUG